AGCAGCCGCGGUAAUUCCAGCUCCAAUAGCGUAUAUUAAAGUUGUUGCAGUUAAAAAGCUCGUAGUUGAAUUUCGGGAUCAGAUUGUCGGUCGUGCCUCGGUACGCACUGGCAUUAUUGGUUCCUACCUUCUGAAGAACCGCGAUGUCAUUAAUUUGGUGUCGUGAGGAAUCAGGACUGUUACUUUGAAAAAAUUAGAGUGUUUAAAGCAGGCGCACGCUUGAAUACAUUAGCAUGGAAUAAUGAAAUAGGACGUUUGAUUCUAUUUUGUUAGUUUCUAGGAUCACCGUAAUGAUUAAUAGGGAUAGUUGGGGGCAUUAGUAUUCAAUUGUCAGAGGUGAAAUUCUUGGAUUUAUUGAAGACUAACUUCUGCGAAAGCAUUUGCCAAGGAUGUUUUCAUUAAUCAAGAACGAAAGUUAGGGGAUCGAAGACGAUCAGAUACCAUCGUAGUCUUAACCAUAAACUAUGCCGACUAGGAAUCGGACGAAGUUAAUUUUUAAUGACUCGUUCGGCGCCUUAAC
RNAcentral lists this ribosomal RNA (520 nucleotides) under uncultured Glomus. Its description in RNAcentral is "SSU rRNA". It matches the Rfam family "Eukaryotic small subunit ribosomal RNA", at positions 569 to 1092 of the family's 1831-position model. The record is from RNAcentral. Lineage: Eukaryota; Fungi; Glomeromycota; Glomeromycetes; Glomerales; Glomeraceae.